This 413-nucleotide ribosomal RNA is filed under the name Vibrio sp. FNV 38. RNAcentral describes it as "partial 23S ribosomal RNA". It matches the Rfam family "Bacterial large subunit ribosomal RNA", at positions 2308 to 2720 of the family's 2925-position model. The record is from RNAcentral. Lineage: Bacteria; Pseudomonadati; Pseudomonadota; Gammaproteobacteria; Vibrionales; Vibrionaceae.
AUCCAAAGGUUCCCUCAGCGCGGUCGGCAAUCGCGCGAAGAGCAUAAAGGCAUAAGGGAGCUUGACUGCGAGGCGGACACGCCGGGCAGGUACGAAAGUAGGGCUUAGUGAUCCCGCGGUACAGCGUGGAAAGGCCGUUGCUCAAUGGAUAAAAGGUACUCUGGGGAUAACAGGCUGAUCUCCCCCAAGCGUUCAUAGCGACGGGGAGGUUUGGCACCUCGAUGUCGGCUCGUCGCAUCCUGGGGCUGGAGAAGGUCCCAAGGGUUUGGCUGUUCGCCAAUUAAAGCGGCACGCGAGCUGGGUUCAAAACGUCGUGAGACAGUUUGGUCCCUAUCCGGUGUGGGCGUACGAGACUUGAGGGAAGCUGUCCUUAGUACGAGAGGACCGGGACGGACGGACCUCCGGUGUACCGG